Long non-coding RNA from Oncorhynchus keta (chum salmon), 1387 nucleotides. RefSeq lists it as uncharacterized. The record is from RefSeq and is a predicted model, not a curated record. NCBI's taxonomy places the organism in Eukaryota, Metazoa, Chordata, Actinopteri, Salmoniformes, Salmonidae. The transcript has 5 exons.
CACACACACACACACACACACACACACACACACACUUCUGAACACAGCAACUUUGUCUAUGAACUUUCUGCAGUCCACAGUGCUUUGCUGACGUGAUUGCAUCCAUCUGUAAGUUGAGCUGUCUCAGGUUAGGUUUAGGUCCAUCUUCAGAGGUGUAGCUGGACAGGUUUAAGCCGAGGUUGUGUGGUCAAGUUGAGCUGUCUCAGGUUAGGUUUAGGUCCAUCUUCAGAGGUGUAGCUGGACAGGUUUAAGCCGAGGUUGUGUGGUCAAGUUGAGCUGUCUCAGGUUAGGUUUAGGUCCAUCUUCAGAGGUGUAGCUGGACAGGUUUAAGCCGAGGUUGUGUGGUCAAGUUGAGCUGUCUCAGGUUAGGUUUAGGUCCAUCUUCAGAGGUGUAGCUGGACAGGUUUAAGCCGAGGUUGUGUGGUCAAGUUGAGCUGUCUCAGGUUAGGUUUAGGUCCAUCUUCAGAGGUGUAGCUGGACAGGUUUAAGCCGAGGUUGUGUGGUCAAGUUGAGCUGUCUCAGGUUAGGUUUAGGUCCAUCUUCAGAGGUGUAGCUGGACAGGUUUAAGCCGAGGUUGUGUGGUCAAGUUGAGCUGUCUCAGGUUAGGUUUAGGUCCAUCUUCAGAGGUGUAGCUGGACAGGUUUAAGCCGAGGUUGUGUGGUCAAGUUGAGCUGUCUCAGGUUAGGUUUAGGUCCAGCUUCAGAGGUGUAGCUGGACAGGUUUAAGCCGAGGUUGUGUGGUCAAGUUGAGCUGUCUCAGGUUAGGUUUAGGUCCAGCUUCAGAGGUGUAGCUGGACAGGUUUAAGCCGAGGUUGUGUGGUCAAGUUGAGCUGUCUCAGGUUACGUUUAGGUCCAGCUUCAGAGGUGUAGCUGGACAGGUUUAAGCCGAGGUUGUGUGGUCAAGUUGAGCUGUCUCAGGUUAGGUUUAGGUCCAGCUUCAGAGGUGUAGCUGGACAGGUUUAAGCCGAGGUUGUGUGGUCAAGUUGAGCUGUCUCAGGUUAGGUUUAGGUCCAGCUUCAGAGGUGUAGCUGGACAGGUUUAAGCCGAGGUUGUGUGGUCAAGUUGAGCUGUCUCAGGUUAGGUUUAGGUCCAGCUUCAGAGGUGUAGCUGGACAGGUUUAAGCCGAGGUUGUGUGGUCAAGUUGAGCUGUCUCAGGUUAGGUUUAGGUCCAGCUUCAGAGGUGUAGCUGGACAGGUUUAAGCCGAGGUUGUGUGGUCAAGUUGAGCUGUCUCAGGUUAGGUUUAGGUCCAUCUUCAGAGGUGUAGCUGGACAGGUUUAAGCCGAGGUUGUGUGGUCAAGUUGAGCUGUCUCAGGUUAGGUUUAGGUCCAGCUUCAGAGGUGUAGCUGGACAGGUUUAAGCCGAGGUUGUGUGGUCAAGUUGAGCUGUC